GUCCACGCCGUAAACGAUGGGUGCUAGGUGUGGGGUGUCGACUCCCCUGUGCCGAAGCUAACGCAUUAAGCACCCGCCUGGGGAGUACGGCCGCAAGGCUAAAACUCAAAGGAAUUGACGGGGCCCGCACAAGCAGCGGAGCAUGUGGUUUAAUUCGACGCAACGCGAAGAACCUUACCAAGGCUUGAAAUGCUCGGGAAAAGCCGGAGAAAUUCGGCCCUCCUUCGGGACUCGAGUACAGGUGGUGCAUGGCUGUCGU
Molecule: ribosomal RNA, 259 nt
Filed under: uncultured bacterium
Lineage: Bacteria
Description: partial 16S ribosomal RNA
Rfam family: Bacterial small subunit ribosomal RNA
Source: RNAcentral